This 1005-nucleotide long non-coding RNA is filed under the name Anser cygnoides (Swan goose). RNAcentral's name for it is "lncRNA (ENSACDG00005003592.1)". The record is from RNAcentral. Lineage: Eukaryota; Metazoa; Chordata; Aves; Anseriformes; Anatidae.
GCAGCGCCGAGCAAACCGGGUUGUUGGCUCUGCUGCUUUAUUCCCGCAGGCCGGGCUGCUCCAGCUUCUGCUCCUUGGAGUGCUGGGGCCGUCUGCAGCGAAAAAGUCCGCGCCGCUUUGGCCCCGAGCCCGGGGGGAAAAAAAAAAUAUACUGAGCCUUCGCCUCGGAUAACUCGGGGAGGAAGAGCGCAGCCCCUGACGGAAGAAACGCUCGGGGGGCAAUGCGGAAGGAACCCGAAAUGCGCUAAGGGAUGCGUUUUAAGAUUUGAAAAAAUAAAAAGGGAACGCGCCAGGAGCGGCGGGCAGAGGUGCCUCGGUGCUGUCACCGCGCUGCUGAGGGUCCUCCGUCCCGCUCCCAGCAAGGAUCCGCCCUCUGCGCCCUCCCUGAGCCCCUGGAGGUCCCCCGCGUUUUGUUCCCCGAUCGGCGCCACCGUUCCCGGCCGAAACCAGGCUCCGGGUGCCUUGGGUGCCGCCUGGCGCCGGGGGCUGCGCCGGGCUGGGGGCGAGCCGAAGCUCUCCAACAGCCGGGGAUGGAGCAGAGGACGCGGGAGGAGCACCCCACGGAGAGGAGCACCCCACGGAGAGGAGCACCCCACGGAGAGGAGCACCCCACGGGCGUUCGGCAACAACCGUGGGCGAGGGAAGGAGCUGGAGAGCUGCGGAGGCGCCGCAGGGCCGCGAGGCACUGACCCGAACGGGCUGCGGGCCAGGCAGCACCGCAGCACCCAGCCCUCCCGCAGCGCGCUGGGGGCUCCCGUGCCGCUGCGUCCCCUCCCCAGCGGGCGUUUUGGGUGUGUUUCUUUUUUUGCGGGGGGCGUUUCCCCCCGGCAUUCGUGCGCGGCGCCUGCGAGCGGGGCAGCGCUUCUGCUUAUUUUUGUUCCCCAUGAGCCGUGCCUCGCGCCUGGCGGCUCUGCCCCGUCGGACUUCGCCUCGGGAGCGGCCGCCCCGUGGCGUCGCGGCGGGGCCGGCUCAGCCCUCGCCCUGCUCGGGAGUUUCGGGGCGUGA